UGCAUCUUCCAGGCCU
RNAcentral lists this unclassified non-coding RNA (16 nucleotides) under synthetic construct. The record is from RNAcentral.